Molecule: ribosomal RNA, 508 nt
Filed under: uncultured bacterium
Lineage: Bacteria
Description: bacterial SSU rRNA
Rfam family: Bacterial small subunit ribosomal RNA
Source: RNAcentral
CUGGCUCAGGAUGAACGCUAGCGACAGGCCUAACACAUGCAAGGUCGAGGGGCAGCGCGGGAGAAGCUUGCUUUCCUGGCGGCGACCGGCGCACGGGUGCGUAACAGGUGUGCAAUCUGUCCAUAGUCGGGGGAUAGCCCAGCGAAAGCUGAAUUAACACUCCAUGUGAAUCGAAGCCGCAUGACUUUGAUUUGAAACGCAAGGACUAUGGGUGAGCACGCUUCUGAUUAGGUAGUUGGUGGGGUAACGGCCCACCAAGCCGACGAUCAGUAGGGUUCUGAGAGGAAGGUCCCCCCACAUUGGAACUGAGACACGGUCCAAACUCCUACGGGAGGCAGCAGUGAGGAAUAUUGGUCAAUGGGCGAGAGCCUGAACCAGCCAAGUCGCGUUGAAGGAUGAAGGUUCUAUGGAUUGUAAACUUCUUUUGUCCGAGGGUAAAAAAGGUCACGUGUGACUUCUUGCAAGUAUCGGACGAAUAAGCAUCGGCUAACUCCGUGCCAGCCGCCGC